Molecule: ribosomal RNA, 253 nt
Filed under: uncultured bacterium
Lineage: Bacteria
Description: partial 16S ribosomal RNA
Rfam family: Bacterial small subunit ribosomal RNA
Source: RNAcentral
UACAGAGGGUGUAAGCGUUGUUCGGAAUUAUUGGGCGUAAAGCGCGUGUAGGCGGCUUUGCAAGUCGGGUGUGAAACCCCUCAGCUUAACUGAGGAAGUGCGCCCGAAACUGCAGAGCUUGAGUACCGGAGAGGAUGGCGGAAUUCCCCAAGUAGAGGUGAAAUUCGUAGAUAUGGGGAGGAACACCGGUGGCGAAGGCGGCCAUCUGGACGGAUACUGACGCUGAGACGCGAAAGCGUGGGGAGCAAACAGG